AUUGAACGCUGGCGGCAUGCUUUACACAUGCAAGUCGAGCGGCAGCGCGGGGGCAACCCUGGCGGCGAGCGGCGAACGGGUGAGUAAUGCAUCGGAACGUACCCUGGAGUGGGGGGAUAACGCCGCGAAAGCGGCGCUAAUACCGCAUAUGCUCUGAGGAGGAAAGUGGGGGACCGCAAGGCCUCACGCUCUGGGAGCGGCCGAUGUCCGAUUAGCUAGUUGGUGGGGUAAAGGCUUACCAAGGCGACGAUCGGUAGCUGGUCUGAGAGGAUGAUCAGCCACACUGGGACUGAGACACGGCCCAGACUCCUACGGGAGGCAGCAGUGGGGAAUUUUGGACAAUGGGGGCAACCCUGAUCCAGCCAUGCCGCGUGAGUGAAGAAGGCCUCGGUUGUAAG
RNAcentral lists this ribosomal RNA (398 nucleotides) under uncultured bacterium. RNAcentral's name for it is "bacterial SSU rRNA". It matches the Rfam family "Bacterial small subunit ribosomal RNA", at positions 28 to 429 of the family's 1533-position model. The record is from RNAcentral.